This 228-nucleotide long non-coding RNA is filed under the name Elaeis guineensis (African oil palm). Its description in RNAcentral is "long non-coding RNA (EGUI_LNC017272)". The record is from RNAcentral. Lineage: Eukaryota; Viridiplantae; Streptophyta; Magnoliopsida; Arecales; Arecaceae.
GUGCGGCAUCUCUCUGAACCCCCUCGAUCGUCCGAGCUUCCAUAAUACCAUCUGGAUUUCUCCGACAAUGAGCUUCUCCACUCAUCUACCAGGCCCUUCCAAAGGCUCUCUGGGCUUCACUAUCAGCUGAUCUUCUACAAUGAACAACUAUUCUUCGAAUCCCUUCCAGACUUCUUCCGACCACGGACGACCCUACUCCAAACUUCUUCCAGACUUCGUCAAUAUCCG